This 24-nucleotide transfer RNA is filed under the name Dugong dugon (dugong). Its description in RNAcentral is "partial tRNA-Pro". Lineage: Eukaryota; Metazoa; Chordata; Mammalia; Sirenia; Dugongidae. The record is from RNAcentral.
GCAGGGAGUAGUUUAAGUAGAAUU